CCAUCCCAUCAUAAUCCGCCCUACUCCCGACAACUUCCUCGUCAAAUACAAAGAAUGCAUGCGCAACCACGCCGCUUCCAUCGGCCGCCACGCUAGUGACGGCUGCGGCGAGUUCAUGCCUCGUGCAGACGAUGGCCUUACCUGCGCUGCUUGUGGAUGCCACCGUAAUUUCCACAGAAGGGAAGGUGCUUCUCUGAAUUUUGACCACCACCACUACCAACACCAAGUUUUCUCUACUGGUAAGAAACACUUGAUAACUUCUUACUGUGAUGAUGAUGAUGAUGAUGAACCAAAUACGUGCAUCAUUCUAUAGGUAGUGACCAACGGGAUAAUUAGCAGGAUGGGAUUUUCUAUUGGAAUUCCUUUAUUUAUUGGGUUAUUAUUCUUUCCGUUCUUUUACUACUUGAAGGUUGGAUUGAAGAUUGAAGUGCCCACAUGUGUGCCUUUCAUAGUGUCCUUCUUU
Molecule: unclassified non-coding RNA, 463 nt
Filed under: Hevea brasiliensis (rubber tree)
Lineage: Eukaryota; Viridiplantae; Streptophyta; Magnoliopsida; Malpighiales; Euphorbiaceae
Source: RNAcentral